RNAcentral lists this ribosomal RNA (301 nucleotides) under uncultured bacterium. RNAcentral's name for it is "partial 16S ribosomal RNA". It matches the Rfam family "Bacterial small subunit ribosomal RNA", at positions 509 to 807 of the family's 1533-position model. The record is from RNAcentral.
CAGUAGCCGCGGGAAUACAGAGGGUGCGAGCGUUAAUCGGAUUUACUGGGCGUAAAGCUUGCGUAGGCGGCUUCUUAAGUCGGAUGUGAAAUCCCUGAGCUUAACUUAGGAAUUGCAUUCGAUACUGGGAAGCUAGAGUAUGGGAGAGGAUGGUAGAAUUCCAGGUGUAGCGGUGAAAUGCGUAGAGAUCUGGAGGAAUACCGAUGGCGAAGGCAGCCAUCUGGCCUAAUACUGACGCUGAGGUACGAAAGCAUGGGGAGCAAACAGGAUUAGAUACCCCCGUAGUCCCUGUCUCUUAUAC